GUUGUCUGCAUGUAGGCAGUAGUGGUAGCUCUGCAAAGCUCACGAGGAAUUCAUCAUUCUAAACAAUGGCUUUCUGUUUGCUACUAGUUUUAAUUGCAUUCAUUGGUGCAAGUAUACAAGACAGCAUUACCCCAACAUCUCCUGUAGUCUAUGCAAAGGUCAAUGAAAAAGUGACAAUCUCUUGUACAUACAAGUACACUGUGUCAAUGAAUAAUCUACAGUGGUAUCGACAUUACCUCGACUCUAGCCCGGAAUUUCUUGUUCUAAUCAUGGAGUCAGGACAAAAUCAGACGGCUACACCUCCUCAUCCUCGGCUGAAAGCUUCAGUUAAUAAAGAUAACAAGAUGGUGAAUCUAGAAAUCUUUCCUGCAGAUGUGAAGGACUCUGCAGCGUAUUACUGCGCACUGCAGCCCACAGUGGCAGGAAACACAUGAACACCAUACAAAAACCUACUCAGAGCUAAACAGAGAACAAAAUGGUUUAGAUCAACCUGUCAGACCAGAGAGUGUGCACAGAUGCCACAAGGGGGCAGCA
Non-coding RNA from Carassius carassius (crucian carp), 534 nucleotides. NCBI's taxonomy places the organism in Eukaryota, Metazoa, Chordata, Actinopteri, Cypriniformes, Cyprinidae. The record is from the annotation of a RefSeq genome assembly.